AUUUGCUGCUCUGCUGGACCCUGAGUCUGGCGGCGGGCGGCCUCCUCUCCGCUCCCCGCCCGCCAUCCCCCAACUCCCGAUCUCUCUGCUGCGUCUGGCCUCAGGCUGAGACCCCAACGAAUCAUUCCCCGCAUGGGAACAUUUUAUGAUAUAACUGAAUUCAGUUUUAUGUAUAACUGAAUUACGGAUAUGAGAAUCUCAAAUGAGGACGAAUGGUUUUUACGCACAAAACAUGAGACACAAAUCUGUAAGAAAUAUAAAGUCGUGACCACGUCCUUUCAGAACUUUAACCUGUUUGCUGAAGUACGUCAGUAACAAUGGCAGGGAAAGGGUAUCUUAAAUUUCACCACAGCCUCAAAGAGGCCAUUUCGUGGAUCCGCUGAGGCUUGGAGUCGGCCUUCUGACCACGAGUCCUGCGGCUAUGAAAGAGGAAGCCGCGGUUCAGGGCGUCCUCGCGAGUCGUGCAGCCCGCCCUGCUCCAGCUGGGGACACCGGUGGUCACGGCGCUUUCCAGCUGCAGAUCCAGGCGGCAGCCCAAGAUUUGGUCCAGCCGCCAAGGGGUGGCUCGAGUGACUGACGGGCCUUGAACGCUCCCAGGACCCACAUCUGGAGAGGGAGGUGGGGGUGGGGUGCUGAAGUCAUUCUUGGGGCCCCUGGGGGCGGGCAUGGACCUGGGUAAGGCCAGAGAAAUUGACACCUCGUGACAUCCCUGGAAGAGAAGUACGUUCAGUGUCACUCCAGAGCUGAAACCGCCUUCUGGCUGGUCCCUCCUCACCUACAUACUUUUCUAAUUUGUCUGGAGCAGGCCGGGCAUCUGUAUUAUCUGGUUAUUUAAAUAUCUGGUUAUUUAAAAGCUCUCCAUUAAAUUCACAUACACGAAAAUAAAAAUUAAAAAAAAUUUUAAAAAAAAGAAACAAAAGCUCUCUAAUGACCAAGUCCUACACGAUAGUGAAUAAAUUUUUUUGUGUGGUCCCUAAAAUUGAGUUCAUGCCUUUUCUGAAGUAAUAGACGCCCAGAGAAGGGAUCGACUUACCCAUCAUGCCACAGAGAUUAAUUGGCCCCAGAAUUCUUUAGCAGACCGUGUAUAUGAACGUCCUUUGCAAUCAUAUAAAUUAACUGGGAAAACCUCAUUUAGUAUGUUACAUGCCUAGCGUUUUGUGCCUGAACACCUUACAAGAACCAGGGACUAUUGCCCCAAUAUUAUAUUUCAGGAAAGGAAGGCCCAGACAAAUGGUGUCACUGGUCCACUUUCACCCAGUUGGUAAAUGAAACCAGAAAUUAUAGCUGUACCACAGAAAGGUGAAAACGUUUCUUUUAUAAUUUCACAUACAAUCUUUAAUGGACCCAGUGUCCAACACAUUAAAGCAAGUGCUCAGGAGUGACAUCAAGAUGUAAAAAAUAGUCCUGUCCUCAGGGAGUUUAGGUCUUGGAGAAAAGAGACCCAAGGAGACACAAGACAAAGGGGAAAGAGAAGGAGCGCUGAAGACUGAGGACCCUGCCUGUGGACUGAAGUGAGGAUGGGGACACCCGAUGCCCGGAAUAUGACAGUUUGGAGGGGCCUGAAGGACUCUUCUAUUCUCUAUCAGAAAAACAGAAUUACUCUCCUAACCAGAAAAGGUAUUUCAAUUUAUAUUUUCCAUCACAGCACUUUUCUGGUGAUAAUUUAAUGUGUUUUAAAAAAUGUAUCACAGUGAUGGCCUGGUGUGAAAUAAAUAAUAAAAUUUUAAGAAUUAAAAAAUAUAAAAAUCUUUUAUAUAGACAUUAGGAGUUACAAGGAUAACUGUGAAUUAUAAUUAGUAAUUAAAUUGAAAUACUGAUUAUUUUCAUUUUUAUUUAAUUAUUUAAUAAAACCUAUUUAACAUUUAAUAUUUAUCAGUAAUUAAAUCUAAUUGUUAAUAUUUAUUAUUAUAAAUUAUUUUAGAAUUAAAAAUAAGUGUAGAAGCGAGGCAUGGUGGCUCAAGCCUGUAAUCCCAACACUUUGGGAGGCUAAGGUGGGAGGAUUGCUUGAGCCCAGUAGUUCAAGACCAGCCUGGGCAACAUGGAGAAACCCUGUCUCAAUACAAAAAAAUGAGCCAUGUGUGGUGGUGCGUGCCUGUAGUCCCAGCCAUUCUGGAGGCUGAGGUGGGAGGAUGACUUGAGCCUAGGCAGUCAAGGCUGCAGUGAGCCCUGAUCUUGCCACUGCACUCCAGUCUGGGCAACAGAGCAAGACCCUGUGUCAAUAUACAUAUGGACAAACUUAAAAUUUAAAAUGAAAGCAUACUACUGAUACAGAAUUGAGUAGAGAUGCAAAGCUAGUCCUAUAACCAGAACAAUAAAGAUAAAAAGGAGAGUGGAAGAAGGUAUGUCAUGAAUUUCAUGAUAAAUGGCAAUUGCAAAUAUCCUGUAGCAGAACAAAACAACAAAACUGUAGAUAAAACAUAUCCAACCCUUUGGAAGGCCAAGGAGGGAGGAUUGUUUGAGCCCAGAAGUUGGAGACCAGCCUGGGCAACAUAGUGAGACCCUGUAUCUAAAAAGGAAGAAAGAAAAAAAAAAAAAGGAUGAUAAAGUAGACAAUAUUGAAAGCCAUUUUCUGCAAAUACAUAGUGAAUUUGAUCAGUAAUUUUCUUCCAACAGUGCAAAAAUGAAUAGAUAUUAGUUGCCUGAAAUAAAAAUCAAAUAUCCAACAAAAAAUAUUGACUAUCUAAUAGUAUCUAAGCUAGUAAAUUUGGCCAGUUAUAAAAUGUCUUAAAUUUUUAUUUAAAAAAAGAAAACCAUAUUUAUAAGAAGAGGUGAUAAAGAGAAAUUAUUUCAGUUAUGAAGAUUUUGUUAGAAAACUAUGAGAAAAAAACUAUUUUUUGUUUUCAAAAAGUGAAAGAUUAAGUUACCAAACAGUUGCUAAAGAAUACCAGAUGGCUGAGCGUGGUGACUUAUGCCUGUAAUCCCAGUACUUUGGAAGGCCAAGGCAGGAGGAUCAUUUUAGGCCUGGAGUUCGAGACCAGCCUGGGCACUGUAGCAAGACCCGUCUCUAUUAAAAAAAAAAAAAAAAAAAAAAAAGAAUACAAGACCUUGCUAACAAUAGCAAAGAUCAAUUAAUUCAAAAUUUGAAAAACUGUAAUUUAUUUAGCUUUAGAGUACUCUCGUGAUAUGAGAUUGCCAAAUUAAUACUUUGGGUGCAUUUCUUUUCUCAAAGGACUUGCAAAUUUACAAAGAAGUGUUGAAGAAAAGCCACACAUUGGCAGGUAAUGUUUGCAAAAGACAGAUCUGAUGAAGAACAAUAUUUUUAGAAUAUACAAAGAAUACUUAAAACUCAACAGUAAGAAAAUAACCUGAUUUAAAGCAGGCCAAUGACCUGAACAUCUGUUCACCAAAGAAGAUACACAGAUGCAAGUAUGCAUAUGAAAAGAUGCUUGACAUCAUGUCAUUAGGGAACUGCAAAUUAAAACAAGUAGAUACCACUGCAUACCUAGUAGAAUGACCAAAAUUUAGAACACUGUCAGCACCAAAGGUUGCAAAGAUAUGUAGCAAUAGUAACUUGUUCAUUACUGGUGAGAAUGCAAAAUGUGCAAUCACUUUGGAAGACAGUUUGGUGGUUUCUUACAAAAGUAACCAUACUUUUACCAUAAGAUUCACCAAUCACACUCCUUAGUAUUUAUCCAAAGGAAUUGAAAACUUAUCUCCACACAAAAACCUGCACAUAGAUGUUUAUAGCAGCUUUAUUCAUAAUUUAUCCAAAACUUGGAAACAAGAUGUCUUUCAGUAGGUAAGUGGAUAACUGUGGUACUUCUGAAUAAUGGAAUGUUAUUUAGAGUUAAAAAGAAAUGCAUUCACUUUGGGAGGCCGAAGUGGGUGGAUUGCUUGAGGCCAGGAGUUUGAGACCAGCCUGGUCAACAUGGGAAAACCCCAAUUAGCCGGGCAUAGUGGCGUGAGCCUGUAAUCCCAGCUACUCGGGAGGCUGAGAUAUGAGAAUCGUUUGAACCUGGGAGAUGGAGGUUGCAGUGAGCCAGUGCCACUGCACUUCAGCCUGGGCAACAGAGCAAGACUCCUCUGUCUCAAAAAAAAAAAAAAAAAGAAAGAAAAGAAAAAAGAAAAAGAAAAAGAAAAGAAACGAUCAAGCCAUGAAAACACAUGAAGGAAACUUAAAUGUAUGUUACUAAAAAGCCAACCUGAAAAGACUGCAUACUAUAUGACUCCAACUGAUGCAGGGCAAGCAAGCCAAAAAUUAGGGCUUAGCCCGGGAAGAAUUCAAGGGUGAAGUGGUGGUGUUAGCAACUUUUACUGAAGCAGCAGUGUACAACAGCAGAACAGGUACUGCUCCUUGCUGAGCAGGGCUAACCCAUAAGUAAUGUGCCCAGAGUAGCAGCUCAGGGGCAGUUCUGCAGUAAUAUACCUGCUUUUAGUUAAGUGCAUGUUAAGGGGGAUUAUGCAGAAAUUUCUAGAAAAAGAGUGGUAACUUCGGAGUAGGUACAGAGGAAAGAAGUCGAUAAUGUCCUGUUGUUGCCAUGGCAACGAAAAACUGACAUGGCGCUGGUGGGCGUGUCUUAUGGAGAGGUGCUUUAACCUCGUCCCUGUUUCGGCUAGUCUUCAAUCUGGUCCGGAGUAAAGUCCCUGCCUCCGGAGUUCACUCCUGCUUCCUGCUUCACAACUGUAUGACACUCUAGAAAAGACAGUAACUAUGGACACAGUCAAAAGAUUAGUUGAUAGAAAUUGGGUGACAGGAAGUGUUGAAAAGGCAGAACACAGGAUUUUUAGGGCAGUGAAACUUCUGUGAUACUAUAAUGGUGAAUACAUGACAUUAUACAUUUGUCAAAACCCAUAGAAAGCACAACACCAAGAAUAAACCCUAAUGUAAAUUACAGACUUUCGUUGAUAAUGACGUGUCAAUGUAAGUUCAAUUGUAAUAAAUGUACUACUGUGGUGCUGGAUGUCUAUGGUGGGGGGACAUUUUUGCUUCAAUAGUUACAGUUGAAGUAAAUGUUUGUGUUUCCCACAAUGCAUAUGUAGAAACUCUCACAUUCAAUGUGAUGGUCUUUGGAGGUGGGCUCUUUGGGUGAUAGUUAGGUUUAGUUGAGAUCCUAGCAGAUCGAGUCUUCAUGAUGGGCAUGAUGGGACUGGUCCCUUAUAAGAAAAGACCAGAAAGCUAGCUCUCUCUUUGCCAUGUGAAGACAUAGCAGGAAGGUAGCCAUCUGCAAGCUAGGAAAGGGCCUUCACAAAGAAUCAACUCAGACCUCAGAACAGUGAGAGAUAAAUUGUCGUUGUUUAAGUCACUCAGGCUGUGGUAUUUUGUUUCAGCAGCCCAACCUAAGACUGUUAAUUGGAUUAGAAAUUUCCUUUUGGGGAUGGUGUGUGGCGGGCGGGGGGCGGGGAGUACCUUUGUUAAGCUUUUAUAUCAAUGAGUUUGUAGGCUUUUCUUUUUUGGUCAUUGACUAGGACAGUUUAAAUAGUAUGAGUGUGAAGGAGAUUGUUGGUCAUCUAUUCGAUGUCCCUUCUCUGUUUUUUAAUAUGAGAACUCCUGAUUUUCAGCCAACUACCCUGGAAAAAAAGCUAAUCUUUCUGACUUCUUAAGUGUGGCCAUGUACUAAAUUCUGGCUAAUGCAAGGCAAGCCAAAGGUUUUAUGAUAGGUUUUAGGACACUAGAGUAAAAGAGAGCUGUUGCACACAUGCUCUUCACCCUACUUUUGUGUCCUUUUUUCCAUCCUACAACUUGGGUUGUGAGUAUGAUGGCUGGAACUUUAGUGGCUCUCUUGGAUCCCAGGGGUAAUUGAGGGGUGGCUGGAAGGAAUCUGUGAUUUUCUGGAGUUUCCAUACACAAACAAGACCUGGAUUUUCUGGGCUUCCCAGACUUCCACAUCUAGACUUGCUUUAAAUGGGAGAGAAAUAAACUUGUUUCAGCCACUGUCAUUUUGGGCUAUUUUAUAGAACUUAAUCUAAUCUUCAAGGGUACAUGAAUUGCUUUUCCUUAAAAAAAAAAUCAGCCAUAAAAUCAUCUUCUUUUUUCUUUUGUUCCCCACAUUAUUUAGUUGGAGCUCUGUAACUUUUUUUUUUUUUUUUUUUGAGACAAGGUCUUGCUCUGUCACUUAGGCUGGAAUUCAGUGGCAUGACCAUGGCUCACUGCAGCCUUGCCCUCCUAGGCUCAAGCAAUCCUCGUCUCAGCCUCCUGAGUAGCUGAAACUAAGGCACAUGCCACCAUGCCCAGCUAAUUUCUUUUCUUUUAGAGAUGGGAGCCUUGCCCAGGCUAGUCUCAAACUCCUAGCCUCAAGUGAUCCUCCCAUCUCAGCCUCCCAAAGUGACAGGAUUACAGGUGUGAGCCACCAUGCCUGGCUGCUCUGUAAGUGUCUGAAUUUCAUUUUGUAUUUAUCAGUCUGUUUAGAUUUUCUUUCCCUUCUUGGGUCAGUUAGGCCAUUGGUUUCUUUUUAAAGGUUUUCAAAUUUAUUUGCAUCUAAUUCUUCAAAUUACUCUCAAAAUUAUUCCAGUAUAUAUUCUUUUGUUCCUAUUUUCUUCUGUAUUCUUUAUUAAAAUAGCUAAUGAUUUAUCUAGCAGGACUUAUAUUCUUUCCAUAACUUUCCUGCACCCCAAUUAAUCUCCAAUUUUAUAUUUCUUCUGGCCUUCCUUAUAGUUUCCACAGGUUUAUUUUAUUCAUUUUUUAAAACUUUUAUUUAAUUGUUUAUUUUAUUAUCAUUCUUUCUUAUUCAGCAAUCUAAGUGCUUAGGGAUAUAGAAUUUCCUCUAAGCAGCAUAUGCUAGGCUUUAACAAUGUUAGGGAGGCCUCCCCUUUCUGGGGAAGACCACACUUACAUUAACACAGGACUGUGGGAUAAAAAUCUUUUUUUUCUAUUCAUCUUAGGUUCUCCAUCUGUGGCCCUAUCAAGUAGACUAACAAAAGACAGAUUGACAAGACAGAAACAAAGCAUGUGCAUUGUACAAACACAGGGGAGUACUGAGAUGAAUACUCAAAAGAGGAUUUAGAACUUGGGCUUAUAUAGCAUUUUAAGAAAAGAAUACAUUUUUUAAGUGACAAGGAAGACGAAAAGGACUUUGAGUUUCUAGUGCAGUAAAUUGUGGGAAGGCAACUUUUUCUUUCCCUUUUUUUUUUUUUUUUUUUAAAAAAAAAGACUUCUCUGGUGCUAUGUCCAGGCUGAUAAGAGUCUAAAGUCUCUGGUGACUAACUUUUGUUCUUCCCCGAGUAAGAAGACACCUUCACAAUUUCAUAUCCUGCUUUUAGGCAAAUAGGGAGAGGGCAGAGGUGUUUGUUUGUUUUUAAUCUAUUUUUUUUCUCAAUUGUCUUCAACUCAAAAUACUUCUUAUGCCAAAGAUGGCAUAUUCUGCUACCCUUCACUUACUACUUACAACCCAGCCUCUAUCAUCAUAAUUAGAACUUCUGACCCUGGGGAACAUGGGCAAUAGUUUGAACUCUUUUAUAUCUCCCUUAGGCAGAGAUGGAGGCACAGCAUGAUCUUGGCUUACUGCAGCUGCUGCAGGCUCAAGCAAUUCUCC
This 7469-nucleotide long non-coding RNA is filed under the name Homo sapiens (human). Its description in RNAcentral is "non-protein coding lnc-HIST1H1A-3:5". The record is from RNAcentral. Lineage: Eukaryota; Metazoa; Chordata; Mammalia; Primates; Hominidae.